Tupaia belangeri chinensis (Chinese tree shrew) is the source of this 1062-nucleotide long non-coding RNA. RefSeq lists it as uncharacterized. The transcript has 4 exons. Lineage: Eukaryota; Metazoa; Chordata; Mammalia; Scandentia; Tupaiidae. The record is from RefSeq and is a predicted model, not a curated record.
CUGAAAGGGCCCAGAGCAGCAGCGAGAGCACACGCGGGGGAAGGUCCAGGCACGUGCCACGCACAGCCCCACCAGGGAGCGCUGCGAGGCUGGGCACGAUAAAGGCAGACGGGCCCUGUGUGCGGGCGCGGUGUGGGGCUGCUCUGCUUAAGCGUCUUUUUAGAUCAUCUUGUCCCUGGGCUAGAACAAGGCUGAUAAGGCUGAGACACGACCACAAAGAACUAGGUAAUGGUCACGGAAACGUUCACUGUAGUUAGGCCAGUGGAGAGAUUAUAAUGGUCAUGCAAAUGUAUGAGUGAAAGCUGAAAAUCCUCACCUCCCCUUGUAAGCUGGCAACCUGCCUCAUUGUAAUGAAGAGUUUCAGAACCCCUCACAGAUACUAGCCACAGCCUGGCAACCCCUAGAGGGCCGCCACGUUAGACAGGACAAAGGCUGAGACGGCAGACGGGCAGAAUGUGGCCACCGUCGCAUGGCAUCGCUGAGACGCACGGCAGCAGAAGGGGGAGACUAGAGUACUGCAGCGAAUCAGCCUUCAAGGCUUGCGGGACAUCCUAAACCACUCGGCGUCUGUGAGAGGUCACGCCCCAGGAUGCGUUCGACCGCAUAACCCUUCACGAUCACGUACAACACCAGGGAUGGCCCAGCCCCCAGAGGCCUCUGAGUCAGGGGGGCUGCACCGUCUCAAGGAGCCCCAGGGCUCUAUGAAGGUGCUCCAAAGUUUUUGCAGUUGAGGUGAAGUUCAUUUAGUGGGAUUAUUUAUUAAUACAAUAACACUCACACACAUUACUGAUGCCAUUUAGCUCUAAAACACGCGUAAAACAGCAUAUCUGCACGUUCACUCCUCCCCUACUUAUCCGCAGCGUGUUCUGCACUCUGGAAUUCACCCAGCUCCCUGGGAAGGUCCGCCCACCUCUCACGGACAGAGCCGCCGCCAAGGACGUGGGUUGUCCCCGAGGCAGAUGUCAGGUCUCACCUAUCAGGGCCAGUCAGAUAUGGUGCGUGUUCAACAAGUGACACUCAGAGGGAGUGACCACAACGGCCACCUGAACCACCAGUGCAUGC